RNAcentral lists this ribosomal RNA (253 nucleotides) under uncultured bacterium. RNAcentral describes it as "partial 16S ribosomal RNA". It matches the Rfam family "Bacterial small subunit ribosomal RNA", at positions 524 to 776 of the family's 1533-position model. The record is from RNAcentral.
UACGUAGGGGGCAAGCGUUGUCCGGAUUUAUUGGGCGUAAAGAGCGUGUAGGCGGCCUGAAAGGUCAGCUGUGAAAACUCGAGGCUCAACCUCGAGACGUCGGUUGAAACCAUCUGGCUAGAGUCCGGAAGAGGAGUGUGGAAUUCCCGGUGUAGCGGUGAAAUGCGCAGAUAUCGGGAAGAACACCCGUGGCGAAGGCGGCUCUCUGGGACGGUACUGACGCUGAGACGCGAAAGCGUGGGGAGCAAACAGG